RNAcentral lists this ribosomal RNA (624 nucleotides) under Staphylococcus aureus. Its description in RNAcentral is "bacterial SSU rRNA". It matches the Rfam family "Bacterial small subunit ribosomal RNA", at positions 202 to 818 of the family's 1533-position model. The record is from RNAcentral. Lineage: Bacteria; Bacillati; Bacillota; Bacilli; Caryophanales; Staphylococcaceae.
GACGGUCUUGCUGUCACUUAUAGAUGGAUCCGCGCUGCAUUAGCUAGUUGGUAAGGUAACGGCUUACCAAGGCAACGAUGCAUAGCCGACCUGAGAGGGUGAUCGGCCACACUGGAACUGAGACACGGUCCAGACUCCUACGGGAGGCAGCAGUAGGGAAUCUUCCGCAAUGGGCGAAAGCCUGACGGAGCAACGCCGCGUGAGUGAUGAAGGUCUUCGGAUCGUAAAACUCUGUUAUUAGGGAAGAACAUAUGUGUAAGUAACUGUGCACAUCUUGACGGUACCUAAUCAGAAAGCCACGGCUAACUACGUGCCAGCAGCCGCGGUAAUACGUAGGUGGCAAGCGUUAUCCGGAAUUAUUGGGCGUAAAGCGCGCGUAGGCGGUUUUUUAAGUCUGAUGUGAAAGCCCACGGCUCAACCGUGGAGGGUCAUUGGAAACUGGAAAACUUGAGUGCAGAAGAGGAAAGUGGAAUUCCAUGUGUAGCGGUGAAAUGCGCAGAGAUAUGGAGGAACACCAGUGGCGAAGGCGACUUUCUGGUCUGUAACUGACGCUGAUGUGCGAAAGCGUGGGGAUCAAACAGGAUUAGAUACCCUGGUAGUCCACGCCGUAAACGAUGAGUGCUA